GUGCUCACUUCAGCAGCACAUAUACUAAAAUUGGAACAAUACAGAUAAGAUUAGCAUGGCUCCUAAGCAAGGAUACCAUAAAUUUGUGAAGCAUUCCAUAUUUUU
Delphinapterus leucas (beluga whale) is the source of this 105-nucleotide small nuclear RNA. Lineage: Eukaryota; Metazoa; Chordata; Mammalia; Artiodactyla; Monodontidae. The record is from Ensembl.